AAAUACUCCUUACAUCCCAAAAUAUAAGAGAUUUUGGUUGGAUGUAACACAUUCUAGUACUACAAAUCUGGACUGGGAGCCUGUCCAAAUUCAUAGUACUAGGAUGUGUCCCAUCCAACCCAAAUCCCUUAUAUUUUGGGACGAAGGGAG
RNAcentral lists this unclassified non-coding RNA (150 nucleotides) under Oryza sativa (Asian cultivated rice). RNAcentral describes it as "partial microRNA MIR468n-10 precursor". The record is from RNAcentral. Lineage: Eukaryota; Viridiplantae; Streptophyta; Magnoliopsida; Poales; Poaceae.